CAUGCAAGUCGAACGAGAAAGNGGANUUCGNUCUGNGAGUACAGUGGCAGACGGGUGAGUAACACGUGGGUAACCUGCCCGGAGGUGGGGGACAACGUUCCGAAAGGGACGCUAAUACCGCNUGAUAUCUCGAGCACUUCGGUGCUUGAGAUCAAAGCUUGCCUCUUCUUGAAAGCAAGCGCCACCGGAGGGACCCGCGCNNCAUUAGCUUGUUGGUGAGGUAACGGCUCACCAAGGCUCCGAUGGGUAGCCGGCCUGAGAGGGUGAUCGGCCACACNGGAACUGAGACACGGUCCAGACUCCUACGGGAGGCAGCAGUGAGGAAUUUUGCGCAAUGGGGGAAACCCUGACGCAGCGACGCCGCGUGGAGGAGGAAGGUCUUCGGAUCGUAAACUCCUGUCAAGAGGGACGAAUCCGUAGGGGAUGAAUAAGCCUUUGCGUUGACGGUACCUCUGAAGGAAGCCCCGGCUAACUCCGUGCCAGCAGCCGCGGUAAUACGGAGGGGGCUAGCGUUGUUCGGAAUUAUUGGGCGUAAAGGGCGCGUAGGCGGCCCGGUAAGUCAGUCGUGAAAGCCCUCGGCUCAACCGAGGAAUUGCGAUUGAAACUGCCGAGUUUGAGUUCUGGAGAGGGUAGCGGAAUUCCCAGUGUAGCGGUGAAAUGCGUAGAUAUUGGGAGGAACACCCGUGGCGAAGGCGGCUACCUGGACAGAUACUGACGCUGAGGCGCGAAAGCGUGGGGAGCAAACAGGAUUAGAUACCCUGGUAGUCCACGCUGUAAACGAUGAACACUUGGUGUUGCGGGUAUCGACCCCUGCAGUGCCGAAGCUAACGCAUUAAGUGUUCCGCCUGGGGAGUACGGUCGCAAGGCUGAAACUCAAAUGAAUUGACGG
This 889-nucleotide ribosomal RNA is filed under the name uncultured bacterium. Its description in RNAcentral is "bacterial SSU rRNA". It matches the Rfam family "Bacterial small subunit ribosomal RNA", at positions 54 to 916 of the family's 1533-position model. The record is from RNAcentral.